This is a long non-coding RNA of Girardinichthys multiradiatus, 682 nucleotides long. RefSeq lists it as uncharacterized. The record is from RefSeq and is a predicted model, not a curated record. The transcript is spliced from 3 exons. Lineage: Eukaryota; Metazoa; Chordata; Actinopteri; Cyprinodontiformes; Goodeidae.
CUUCCUGCGGAAACACUUCGUUGCGUUUACCGGUGCGGUUGCGUCGGUAAACGCAACCGCACCGCACCGUGGCUGAUGUGAGUGUACACGUUGAUUUCAAUGAUUUGGGUUCCUUGCGGCGCCCGCACCGCAGCCGCAUUCAGUGUGAGCCUGGCAUAAUGCUCACAGUAUGCUACUGUUUCAGGACAGGAGUCAGAGUGGCAUGGGCGGAGUUUUCCAAUCUACGCACCUGUCCUGGAUUCUGCUGAUGAGAGCAGCUGGCAUUUAAGCUCCUGGAAGUGAUCCAUUCCUCGCCGGAUUAUUCAGUGACACUGUUACUGAGUGAGACAGCCAAUAAUUUGUCUUUGAGACUUUCUUGAGUAACUUGGUGAUUUUUGUGUUUUUCCAAGGACACUUAUUGGAGUGUGGAACUCGCCUUUUGCUGGAGCUUAAGGACUUGUAAGGACUUAAGGAGGUGUAUUUGGAUUCCUCUCCUGGAAAGUCUCACCUGUAAACCAACCAUCCUCUGUCCUGCCACUCUCUCUCUCUCUCUCCCUCGGACCUAGAACAUAAACGGACACCGAAACCUGGAACACUUACCUCCUGGAUUUCCCUUGCCUCCUCCUCCGAGCUGACUUCCCUCCCAAGAGCCUGACGAACCCACUGUUGUGCACUCACUGUAAAUAAACAUCAUUUAACUUUU